This 3433-nucleotide long non-coding RNA is filed under the name Hordeum vulgare. Its description in RNAcentral is "long non-coding RNA (HVUL_LNC014165)". Lineage: Eukaryota; Viridiplantae; Streptophyta; Magnoliopsida; Poales; Poaceae. The record is from RNAcentral.
UUAUCAUCCCUACCAUGGCUCGCCACAGAACAUUCUGUUGGGGAACGUCGCAUGGGAAACAAAAAUUUUCCUACGCGCACGAAGACCUAUCAUGGUGAUGUCCAUCUACGAGAGGGGAUGUGUGAUCUACGUACCUUUGUAGACCGUACAGACGACGCGUUAGUGAACGCGGUUGAUGUAGUGGAACGUCCUCACGUCCGUCGAUCCGCCCCGUGAAUCGUCCCGCGAUCAGUCCCACGAUCUAGUGCCGAACGGACGGCACCUCCGCGUUCAGCACACGUACAGCUCGACGAUGAUCUCGGCCUUCUGGAUCUAGCAAGAGAGACGCAGAGGUAGAAUAGUUCUCCGGCAGCGUGACGGCGCUCCGGAGGUUGGUGAUGAUCUUGUCUCAGCAGGGCUUCGCCCGAGCUCCGCAGAAACGCGAUCUAGAGGAAAAACCGUGGAGGUAUGUGGUCGGGCUGCCGUGGAAAAAACGUCUCAAAUCAGCCCUAAAACCUCCGUAUAUAUAGGGGGAAGAGGGGGAGCCUUGCCUUGGGGCUCAAGGAGCCCCAAGGGGGUCGGCCGAGCCAAGGGGGGAAGGUCUCCCCCCCAAACCGAGUCCAACUUGGUUUGGUGGGUGGAGUCUUUCUUCCCUUUCCCACCUCCUCCUUUUUUCUUUUCUCUUUGAUUUUCUUCCUAUGGCGCAUAGGGCCUUCUUGGGCUGUCCCACCAGCCCACUAAGAGCUAGUGUGCCACCCCCAAGGCCUAUGGGCUUCCCCGGGGUGGGGUGAACCCUCGUGACGUCCGUGAUCCCAUCCGUGACUCCGAACAACAUUCGGUAACCAACCAUAUAACUCAAAUACGCAUAAAACAACGUCGAACCUUAAGUGUGCAGACCCUGCGGGUUCGAGAACUAUGUAGACAUGACCCGAGAGACUCCUCGGUCAAUAUCCAAUAGCGGGACCUGGAUGCCCAUAUUGGAUCCUACGUAUUCUACGAAGAUCUUAUCGUUUGAACCUCAGUGCCAAGGAUUCAUAUAAUCCCGUAUGUCAUUCCCUUUGUCCUUCGGUAUGUUACUUGCCCGAGAUUCGAUCGUCAGUAUCCACAUACCUAUUUCAAUCUCGUUUACCGGCAAGUCUCUUUACUCGUUCUGUAAUACAAGAUCCCGCAACGUACACUAAGUCACAUUGCUUGCAAGGCUUGUGUGUGAUGUUGUAUUACCGAGUGGGCCCCGAGAUACCUCUCCGUCACACGGAAUGACAAAUCCCAGUCUUGAUCCAUACUAACUCAACGAACACCUUCGGAGAUACCUGUAGAGCAUCUUUAUAGUCACCCAGUUACGUUGCGACGUUUGAUACACACAAAGUAUUCCUCCGGUGUUUAGUGAGUUAUAUGAUCUCAUUGUCAUAGGAACAAAUACUUGACACGCAGAAAAACAGUAGCAACAAAAUGACACAAUCAACAUGCUACGUCUAUUAGUUUGGGUCUAGUCCAUCACGUGAUUCUCCUAAUGACGUGAGCCAGUUAUCAAGCAACACCACCUUGUUCAUAAUCAGAAGACACUGACUAUCUUUGAUCAACUGGCUAGCCAACUAGAGGCUUGCUAGGGACAGUGUUUUGUCUAUGUAUCCACACAUGUAAAUGAGUCUUCAUUCAAUACAAUUGUAGCAUGGAUAAUAAACGAUUAUCUUGAUACAGGAAUUAUAAUAAUAACUAUAUUUAUUAUUGCCUCUAGGGCAUAAUUCCAACACAUUCGUCAACGUGUAAAGCUCAAAUACAUGAAGCUGGGGUGGCCGUCCGACAACCGCCAUGGACGUUAGAUGCUACUUCGAUCCGAAGCGGAGUGCCAGAUUGGCAAAGGUGCCGUCCUGAGCUGGAUGAUGAUGACUGGGACUCAAAGGGGGUAAUGCUUGAAUUUCACAAGCAGACACAAAUCUGCAACUCAUAGAGACAUUAGAUCAAUUAUGCGAUGACCACUGUUUUCUCGCACCGACCAUGGAGGAUUAUUUGACAACUUUGUGGUGUUAUUUUCCAAGGAGAAUGGUGUCGUAGGUCGGGUUCUGUCUAUUGUAGUCAUACUAGAUGAUGGGCUUUUGCAUUCGGAGAUGGGGUACGGUGCUCGGUUGGAGCCACAAGUGAUCGGGGUCUUAGAUGAAGGACGACGUACCAUUUUCUUGAACAUGACGAUGGGUAUUUUCAUGGCAAAACCAAUGUCUAGGCAGCAUUUGUGAGUUAUUAUUCAAGCGGACCAGCUACCUUUCUCAUGUGUUUGUCACUACUCAACCUUCUAUACUACAGGUACAAUUACUUUACAACAUAUAUAAAUAGCUGGGGAGUAAUUUAUAUUGUGUACGAAAUGCAGAUCAAAGUUUUUCAUAUCUCCAUAAAUAUUGAUUAGCAAAAGUCUUCAAUUUCAUGAAUUACAUCACAUGUCCUACUGUUUGACUAACUAAUGUUUGAAGAGACCUACGUACGUAUUUGUUGUCUUUUUAGGAAAAGGCUUACGAUACGCCAUAUGCAAAAACAUGUAGAGAAGUUUGUGUGUGUGUGUUACAUACUAGGUCAUGGAAACAUGUAGAGAAAUGUGUGUUACAUACUUCUUCACCCAGGUCAUGAAAACUUGUAAAAAAGUGUGUUUUACAUACUUCUACGCCCAGGUCAUGGAACCAUGCAAAAAUGCGUGUGUUACAUAUUUUAGUUGUGUAAUUUGUUUUCUUGAAAUCCCAUAGCCGUUUGUUCCCAGUGCAUAUCUAAUGCCACAAUGAUACGCAGGGAACAUGUAUUGGAGUCUCGUCUCACCUUUAUUUAAAUUUGAGAUUAAUCAGUGAGCUACUUGUUGGUACUAGCCAAACUUUUGUGUCUAAUGCAAGAUCUUCCACCUACAUGAUAUAUGUCUAAUGCAAAUUUAAGCAUAGUGCUUAUCUAUUUGGUAUUGUGCUGUUUUUCAUUUGUAUUAUUAAACUUAUGUUUUUGUCUAUUUGCUUGAUUAUUUAGAAUGACCUCACUAUAUUGGCCGAGUAUUGUACUAGUGCAUAGAUUUUAUAUGUGGCCACUUAGAACAUGUUUACAAAAUACUAACAUAUGAAAGCCCACACAUACGAUCUAGUGUGUGUAUGUUCAAAGCCCACACAAACCUCUCUCACAUGAAUAAUCCUCCCCUAAUUAAUAGCAUUACUAGCAUACCCAAUAUCCAUACUUGUGGCAACCAAUUAAUUAUAUCCAACCUAAUAUGAACAUGCAAUUAAUAUUUUCAAAAAUAUUAGUGUGCAACAUAAUUACUGUAUUGUCUAAUAUUAACAUGCAUUAAAGGCACACAAUUAAUGUGCAAUGCAAUAUAUAUCUACUAAUAUUAGCAUGCAUUGCAAGCACACAAUUAGUGUGCAAUGCAAUAUAUAUGCACACGAUUGCUAGUCAAUUUAAAUGGUUGCAAUCAAACAACAUAUCGGAUCGGAUG